AGCGAACGCUGGCGGCAGGCCUAACACAUGCAAGUCGAACGAACUCUUCGGAGUUAGUGGCGGACGGGUGAGUAACACGUGGGAACGUGCCUUUUGGUUCGGAAUAACUCAGGGAAACUUGUGCUAAUACCGAAUGUGCCCUUCGGGGGAAAGAUUUAUCGCCAUUAGAGCGGCCCGCGUCUGAUUAGCUAGUUGGUGAGGUAACGGCUCACCAAGGCGACGAUCAGUAGCUGGUCUGAGAGGAUGACCAGCCACACUGGGACUGAGACACGGCCCAGACUCCUACGGGAGGCAGCAGUGGGGAAUCUUGCGCAAUGGGCGAAAGACUGACGCAGCCAUGCCGCGUGAAUGAUGAAGGUCUUAGGAUUGUAAAAUUCUUUCACCGGGGACGAUAAUGACGGUACCCGGAGAAGAAGCCCCGGCUAACUUCGUG
Molecule: ribosomal RNA, 433 nt
Filed under: uncultured bacterium
Lineage: Bacteria
Description: partial 16S ribosomal RNA
Rfam family: Bacterial small subunit ribosomal RNA
Source: RNAcentral